RNAcentral lists this ribosomal RNA (638 nucleotides) under uncultured Actinomycetes bacterium. Its description in RNAcentral is "bacterial SSU rRNA". It matches the Rfam family "Bacterial small subunit ribosomal RNA", at positions 234 to 885 of the family's 1533-position model. The record is from RNAcentral. Lineage: Bacteria; Bacillati; Actinomycetota; Actinomycetes.
CGCCUGGGGAGUACGGGUGAGGUAACGGCUCACCAAGGCGACGACGGGUAGCCGGCCUGAGAGGGUGACCGGCCACACUGGGACUGAGACACGGCCCAGACUCCUACGGGAGGCAGCAGUGGGGAAUAUUGCACAAUGGGCGCAAGCCUGAUGCAGCAACGCCGCGUGAGGGACGACGGCCUUCGGGUUGUAAACCUCUUUUAGCAGGGAAGAAGCGAAAGUGACGGUACCUGCAGAAAAAGCACCGGCUAACUACGUGCCAGCAGCCGCGGUAAUACGUAGGGUGCAAGCGUUGUCCGGAAUUAUUGGGCGUAAAGAGCUCGUAGGCGGUUUGUCACGUCUGCUGUGAAAAUCCAAGGCUCAACCUUGGACUUGCAGUGGGUACGGGCAGGCUAGAGUGGGGUAGGGGAGAUGGGAAUUCCUGGUGUAGCGGUGGAAUGCGCAGAUAUCAGGAGGAACACCAAUGGCGAAGGCAGUCUUCUGGGCCGGUACUGACGCUGAGGAGCGAAAGCAUGGGGAGCAAACAGGAUUAGAUACCCUGGUAGUCCAUGCCGUAAACGUUGGGCACUAGGUGUGGGGUCUUCUAACGGAUUCCGUGCCGUAGCUAACGCAUUAAGUGCCCCGCCUGGGGAGUACGG